CCGAAACGACGACGUAUUUUCUUCACUCAUUCGUAAACGGCGUAGCAUCUACGAAAUCAAAAUAUCCCGGGUCAGAAAUCAUUCGCCUACGACGCAUCACCUCUAGCCAUCGUAUGAUGAAGUACAAUACAUCCACUAUAUUUGACAAAGAUCCGACGAGCUUCUGGUAGCAAGAACUACGAAAGGGCAAAUACCAGAAAUCAGGUUCUGAGUCUGCGUCUGCUGUGGAUCUCUCCAGCUCAACGACAAGGGAUUUCAGAUGACUCUUUGCAAGAGUGGCUGCUCUGGUUGGCUGCAUAAAAAGCUCUACGACAAUGAAACAAGAUAGCCCAAUUAGAACCUCGGUGAGUCUGAUAAUGGCAAAUUCACUUGGAGUCCCAUAAUUUUUUCUUCCCAGUAUCAAUAAUGCUCCUAUGGCGGAUGAUGUUCCUCCUGUUUGGCCAUACAUACGACUGUGCCUCAGAAAGCCGGUAAAAA
Long non-coding RNA from Olea europaea var. sylvestris, 477 nucleotides. RefSeq lists it as uncharacterized. The record is from RefSeq and is a predicted model, not a curated record. Lineage: Eukaryota; Viridiplantae; Streptophyta; Magnoliopsida; Lamiales; Oleaceae. The transcript is spliced from 3 exons.